ACAAGAGGAAGAUAUCAUAUAUUGAAUAAAACUGUUGGAUUACAAUAGUGGAUAUUACAGGAGGAACAUCAUCCCAAUGUGAUCCAUAAUCUAAAUAUUUUCUUGAGAGUGAAACUUAAACAGACAAUAAUCCAUCAACUAGAACUAACUAAAACUUAACCGAGGAACAUCAUCCAACAGGAACAACAUCACUACAACUUUAACUAAAACUAACUUUAACUAAAACUGAAGGCAUCCAUCAUCAUCAACGGGAACAUCAUCAUCAUCAUCAUCAACGGGAACAUCAUCAUCAUGAUUGCAGUAUACUUGCCACAAACCAUAGAAUCAUCCAUAUAUCUUUUGAUUGAAUCUACAAAGAAAAUAACAAAAUGAAUUGUUAACACACAAUGAGCUGACAUCAUGCAAGUAGUGAGAGAGGCAGGUUAUAAGUCACUUACAAAGGUUGAAGGCCAUGCAAUUUAUGUUAUACAUAGUAGAUGGAAAUACAUCCAUAACCUAUCUCAAGAUCAUCAUUGAUCGGUUAGUAUUGGUUUUUUUACCGCUUUUUGAGGGGUUCAGGUUACAGGCUUAAACUAUACUAGCAAGAGGAAAAUAGUAUCUCACACCCUUAUCCUAAUAAGCAUGGCGCAUAACCUACCACAGCUUCGCUUCCUCAAUUUCUACAUGCCACUACAUUUUAUAAAUAGUAGCUAUUUCAAACUUAUUCAAGGAGAUACUAUCUGGUUAAUUCCUGUAAAAAUAAAUUAAGAGGUUAAUUAAUUAGUCAUCCCUUUGAACAGUAAUGCUCUACUUUUCUGAUGCUUGGAUUGGAUGGGUUAAUUAAUUAGUCAUCCUUUUGAGUAGUAAUGCUCUACUUUUGUUAUCAAAAUUCCCCAAAAGACUUUAAGUUGUCACACAGUUGCAUGUCUGUGUGUCUUGUCCAGAAGUUGAAGCAACUGCCUUAUGUGGCCAUUAAGCAAGUUGAGGUUACUUUUUGCAAAGAAAUAUGGUCCCAAAAGAACAAUUCCCUGAAGCGACUUGGAAAACAAAUGGGUUGUCGAGUAACUUACUUCAUAAUUAAGCACAGAAGUCAUCAUGGCAUCCAACAGAAGAUAUGAAAGAUCUGUAGCUGAUCUGCAUCAGUACAGUUACACCAACAUGUAACAACAUCACGUUAUUUCACCAUUGUUCCCUUGGAAUCUGUACAGUGUAGUGAUGAAUAUGUGGCACAAGAAAGAGAGGUGGCAACCUGUUUGGUACCUUGAAGAAGGCCUUGCUCUUGAGCUAGUGGUCCAGCGCUCAUGGACUGAAAGAAACAAGAAGACCAAGAUGAAAAUAAUGAACAGACCUCGUCGAACUGUACUUGGAGACUGACAGCGAGCUCGGGGCUAAGCGCCAUCUCGUCCAGCGUCUACAUGAGGG
This 1401-nucleotide long non-coding RNA is filed under the name Triticum aestivum (bread wheat). Its description in RNAcentral is "long non-coding RNA (TAES_LNC008741)". Lineage: Eukaryota; Viridiplantae; Streptophyta; Magnoliopsida; Poales; Poaceae. The record is from RNAcentral.